AGAACGAACGCUGGCGGCAUGCCUAAUACAUGCAAGUCGAACGAACUCUUCGGAGUUAGUGGCGCACGGGUGCGUAACGCGUGGGAAUCUGCCCCUUGGUUCGGAAUAACAGUUGGAAACGACUGCUAAUACCGGAUGAUGACGAAAGUCCAAAGAUUUAUCGCCAAGGGAUGAGCCCGCGUAGGAUUAGCUAGUUGGUGAGGUAAAGGCUCACCAAGGCAACGAUCCUUAGCUGGUCUGAGAGGAUGAUCAGCCACACUGGGACUGAGACACGGCCCAGACUCCUACGGGAGCAGCAGUAGGGAAUAUUGGACAAUGGGCGAAAGCCUGAUCCAGCAAUGACCGCGUGAGUGAUGAAGCCUUAGGGUGUAAGCUCUUUUACCGAG
This 386-nucleotide ribosomal RNA is filed under the name uncultured soil bacterium. RNAcentral describes it as "bacterial SSU rRNA". It matches the Rfam family "Bacterial small subunit ribosomal RNA", at positions 26 to 443 of the family's 1533-position model. The record is from RNAcentral.